UACGUAGGGUGCGAGCGUUAAUCGGAAUUACUGGGCGUAAAGCGUGCGCAGGCGGUUUGCUAAGACAGGUGUGAAAUCCCCGGGCUUAACCUGGGAACUUCGCUUGUGACUGGCAGGCUAGAGUACGGUAGAGGGGGUGGAAUUCCUGGUGUAGCAGUGAAAUGCGUAGAUAUCAGGAGGAACACCGAUGGCGAAGGCAGCCCCCUGGGCCUGUACUGACGCUCAUGCACGAAAGCGUGGGGAGCGAACAGGAUUAGAUACCCUGGUA
Molecule: ribosomal RNA, 268 nt
Filed under: uncultured prokaryote
Description: partial 16S ribosomal RNA
Rfam family: Bacterial small subunit ribosomal RNA
Source: RNAcentral